GACGAACGCUGGCGGCGUGCUUAACACAUGCAAGUCGAGCGAUGAAUUUUCUUCGGAAAUGGAUUAGCGGCGAACGGGUGAGGAACACGUGAAGAAUCUGCCCUCCACUUUGGGAUAACACAGGGAAACCUGUGCUAAUACCGAAUAUUGAAACAUAAGUGGCAUCACUGAGUUUUGAAAGAAUUUCGGUGGAGGAUGACUUCGCGGCCUAUCAGCUAGUUGGUGAGGUAAUGGCUCACCAAGGCAACGACGGGUAGCCGGCCUGAGAGGGCGACCGGCCACACUGGGACUGAGACACGGCCCAGACUCCUACGGGAGGCAGCAGUGGGGAAUAUUGGGCAAUGGAGGAAACUCUGACCCAGCGACGCCGCGUGCGGGAUGAAGGCCUUCGGGUUGUAAACCGCUUUCAGUAGGGAAGAAGCGAAAGUGACGGUACCUACAAAAGAAGCACCGGCUAACUAUGUGCCAGCCGCCGCGGUAA
Molecule: ribosomal RNA, 481 nt
Filed under: uncultured bacterium
Lineage: Bacteria
Description: partial 16S ribosomal RNA
Rfam family: Bacterial small subunit ribosomal RNA
Source: RNAcentral